CCUACGGGAGGCAGCAGUGGGGAAUUUUGGACAAUGGGCGAAAGCCUGAUCCAGCCAUGCCGCGUGUCUGAAGAAGGCCUUCGGGUUGUAAAGGACUUUUGUCAGGGAGGAAAUCCCUAGCGUUAAUACCGCUGGGGGAUGACAGUACCUGAAGAAUAAGCACCGGCUAACUACGUGCCAGCAGCCGCGGUAAUACGUAGGGUGCGAGCGUUAAUCGGAAUUACUGGGCGUAAAGCGUGCGCAGGCGGUUUGAUAAGCCAGAUGUGAAAUCCCCGAGCUCAACUUGGGAACUGCAUUUGUGACUGCAAGACUAGAGUGUGUCAGAGGGAGGUGGAAUUCCGCGUGUAGCAGUGAAAUGCGUAGAGAUGCGGAAGAACACCGAUGGCGAAGGCAGCCUCCUGGGAUAACACUGACGCUCAGGCACGAAAGCGUGGGGAGCAAACAGGAUUAGAUACCCUGGUAGUCCACGCCCUAAACGAUGUCAACUAGUUGUUGGGGAUUCAUUUCCUUAGUAACGUAGCUAACGCGUGAAGUUGACCGCCUGGGGAGUACGGCCGCAAGGUUAAAACUCAAAGGAAUUGACGG
RNAcentral lists this ribosomal RNA (585 nucleotides) under uncultured beta proteobacterium. RNAcentral describes it as "bacterial SSU rRNA". It matches the Rfam family "Bacterial small subunit ribosomal RNA", at positions 338 to 916 of the family's 1533-position model. Lineage: Bacteria; Pseudomonadati; Pseudomonadota; Betaproteobacteria. The record is from RNAcentral.